Molecule: ribosomal RNA, 1744 nt
Filed under: human oral metagenome
Description: bacterial LSU rRNA
Rfam family: Bacterial large subunit ribosomal RNA
Source: RNAcentral
GUAAUAGCUCACUGGUCGAGUGAAGUUGCGCGGAAAAUUACCGGGGCUAAGUUAUACACCGAAAUUGCGGAUUCAUUAAGAAAUUAAUGAAUGGUAGAGGAGCGUUCUAUACAGGAUGAAGUAUGAUCGAGAGGACAUAUGGACAGUAUAGAAGAGAGAAUGCCGGAAUGAGUAGCGAGAGCAAAGUGAGAAUCUUUGCCGUCGAAAAUCUAAGGUUUCCUGGGGAAGGUUCGUCCGCCCAGGGUAAGUCGGGACCUAAGGUGAGGCCGAAGGGCGUAGCCGAUGGACAGCAGGUUAAGAUUCCUGCACCAGUAUACAUGUAUAAUGCAUAAGAGGACACAUUUGAAGAAGGUGAGCGAGGAAGAGGAAAAACUCGUAUGGCAACAUAUAGUGAAAUUAAGUAACGAAUCAUCAAGAGGCAAGUGGCGAGAAAAGUCUUAUGUAGUUGUGUAGACUGCCCGUACCGCAAACCGACACAGGUAGAUGAGGAGAGGAUCCUAAGACGAGCGGGAGAAGCAUUGUUAAGGAACUCGGCAAAUUGACCCCGUAACUUAGGGAUAAGGGGUGCUGGUGUAAAAGCCAGUCGCAGUAAAUAGGCCCAAGCAACUGUUUAACAAAAACACAGGUUUCUGCUAAAUCGCAAGAUGAAGUAUAGGAGCUGACUCCUGCCCAGUGCUGGAAGGUUAAGGGGAAAGGUUAAGAAUAAUUCAUUAUAUCUGAAGCUUUGAACUCAAGCCCCAGUGAACGGCGGCCGUAACUAUAACGGUCCUAAGGUAGCGAAAUUCCUUGUCAGGUAAGUUCUGACCCGCACGAAAGGAGUAAUGAUUUGGGCACUGUCUCAACAAUGUACCCGGCGAAAUUGUAGUACUAGUGAAGAUGCUAGUUACCUGCGACAAGACGGAAAGACCCCAUGGAGCUUUACUAUAGCCUGAUAUUGGGCUUUGGUAUCUUAUGUACAGGAUAGGUGGGAGACUAUGAGAUUAAGACGCAAGUCUUAAAGGAGUCAACCUUGGAAUACCACCCUUAAGAUAUUAGAGUUCUAACUUGUGAUCAUAAACUGGUCAGAGGACAUUGUCAGGUGGGUAGUUUGACUGGGGCGGUCACCUCCUAAAGAGUAACGGAGGUGCGCAAAGGUUUCCUCGGCACGGUCAGAAAUCGUGCUAAUGAGUGUAAAGGCAUAAGGAAGCUUAACUGAGAGAGAGACAUCUCGACCAGAUACGAAAGUAGGUCUUAGUGAUCCGGUGGUAGAAAAUGGAAUUGCCAUCGCUCAACGGAUAAAAGUUACCCUGGGGAUAACAGGCUUAUCUCCCCCAAGAGUUCACAUCGACGGGGAGGUUUGGCACCUCGAUGUCGGCUCAUCGCAUCCUGGGGCUGUAGUCGGUCCCAAGGGUUGGGCUGUUCGCCCAUUAAAGCGGUACGCGAGCUGGGUUCAGAACGUCGUGAGACAGUUCGGUCCCUAUCUGUCGCAGGCGCAGGAUAUUUGAAAGGAGCUGUCCUUAGUACGAGAGGACCAGGAUGGACAUACCAAUGGUGCAACAGUUGUCACACCAGUGGCACAGCUGUGUAGCUAAGUAUGGAAGGGAUAAACGCUGAAAGCAUCUAAGCGUGAAGCCCCCCUUAAGAUAAGAUAUCCCACAACGUCAAGUUGGUAAGAUUCCAGUUAGACUAACUGGUUGAUAGGUUAGAGGUGUAAGUGUGGUGACACAUUUAGCUGACUAAUACUAAUAAUCGAGGGCUUAACCAA